GGGUUGCAUAGCUGGGCAAUACGCAUCAGGUCUAACUUUGGGACCAUCCUCAGCAGGUGCACCUUGUGAUCGUUGAAGCCGUAUAUGAAAUCGAUCAAGAAUACCUCCAUAAUUUUUUUCUAAAAAUUGAUCAAAGUCUUGUACUCCUCGAUGCAGGAGAUUUUGAUGUCAUCGAAAAUAUGGACUGGCGUCUUGCUAGGAGAAAACUGAGCCUGGCCAGAAAAAAGGGGAGCCUGAAAAGAUGGUGGCAACCCAACCGAUGAUGGCUUAAACAGCUGUGAAAAGG
Molecule: long non-coding RNA, 286 nt
Filed under: Elaeis guineensis (African oil palm)
Lineage: Eukaryota; Viridiplantae; Streptophyta; Magnoliopsida; Arecales; Arecaceae
Description: long non-coding RNA (EGUI_LNC080329)
Source: RNAcentral